Molecule: ribosomal RNA, 273 nt
Filed under: uncultured bacterium
Lineage: Bacteria
Description: partial 16S ribosomal RNA
Rfam family: Bacterial small subunit ribosomal RNA
Source: RNAcentral
UACGGAAUGUGCAAACGUUAUUCGGAAUCACUGGGCUUAAAGAGUCCGUAGGCGGCUUGUUAGGUGAGGUGUGAAAUCCCUCGGCCCAACCGAGGAAUUGCGCUUCAAACCGGCAAGCUAGAGGAGGAUAGAGGUGGGCGGAACUGAUGGUGGAGCGGUGAAAUGCGUUGAUAUCAUCAGGAACACCGGAGGCGAAGGCGGUCCACUGGGUCCUAUCUGACGCUGAGGGACGAAAGCUAGGGGAGCGAACGGGAUUAGAAACCCCCGUAGUCC